This 468-nucleotide ribosomal RNA is filed under the name uncultured bacterium. Its description in RNAcentral is "partial 16S ribosomal RNA". It matches the Rfam family "Bacterial small subunit ribosomal RNA", at positions 28 to 507 of the family's 1533-position model. The record is from RNAcentral.
GACGAACGCUGGCGGCGUGCUUAACACAUGCAAGUCGAACGGAAAGGCCCUGCUUUUGUGGGGUGCUCGAGUGGCGAACGGGUGAGUAACACGUGAGUAACCUGCCCUUGACUUUGGGAUAACUUCAGGAAACUGGGGCUAAUACCGGAUAGGAGCUCCUGCUGCAUGGUGGGGGUUGGAAAGUUUCGGCGGUUGGGGAUGGACUCGCGGCUUAUCAGCUUGUUGGUGGGGUAGUGGCUUACCAAGGCUUUGACGGGUAGCCGGCCUGAGAGGGUGACCGGCAACAUUGGGACUGAGAUACGGCCCAGACUCCUACGGGAGGCAGCAGGGGGGAAUAUUGAACAAUGGGCGGAAGCCUGAUGCAGCAACGCCGCGUGCGGGAUGACGGCCUUCGGGUUGUAAACCGCUUUCGCCUGUGACGAAGCGUGAGUGACGGUAAUGGGUAAAGAAGCACCGGCUAACUACGUG